AAGGAUGCAAGCUAGGAAGAUCCAAUGGUCAUAAAGGGUGUUGAGUCCUUUUGAAAGGAUUUUGAUCCAGUUUGGGUUUCUGACCUGUAAAAGAGGUCUAAGAGGCAUGAAGCAAAGAUGAGCAGCUUGGAGUGAGCAGCUACGGUAGGGCAUCAGCAACAGCGACAGAGGACAGUUAAGGAGUGGCUUGGCAUGAGCAGCAGU
RNAcentral lists this long non-coding RNA (204 nucleotides) under Elaeis guineensis (African oil palm). RNAcentral describes it as "long non-coding RNA (EGUI_LNC050831)". The record is from RNAcentral. Lineage: Eukaryota; Viridiplantae; Streptophyta; Magnoliopsida; Arecales; Arecaceae.